This 348-nucleotide ribosomal RNA is filed under the name uncultured bacterium. Its description in RNAcentral is "bacterial SSU rRNA". It matches the Rfam family "Bacterial small subunit ribosomal RNA", at positions 71 to 422 of the family's 1533-position model. The record is from RNAcentral.
AAGGCCCCUUCGGGGGUACUCGAGCGGCGAACGGGUGAGUAACACGUGAGUAACCUGCCCUGGACUUUGGGAUAACCCUCGGAAACGGGGGCUAAUACCGGAUAGGACUUCUGGCCGCAUGGCUGGGGGUGGAAAGUUUUUCGGUCUGGGAUGGACUCGCGGCCUAUCAGCUUGUUGGUGGGGUAAUGGCCUACCAAGGCGACGACGGGUAGCCGGCCUGAGAGGGCGACCGGCCACACUGGGACUGAGACACGGCCCAGACUCCUACGGGAGGCAGCAGUGGGGAAUCUUGCGCAAUGGCCGAAAGGCUGACGCAGCGACGCCGCGUGUGGGAGGACGCCUUUCGGG